GCGGGAAUAGCUCAGUUGGUAGAGCACGACCUGUCCAAGGUCGGGGUCGCGAGUUCGAGUCUCGUUUCCCGCUCCA
This 76-nucleotide transfer RNA is filed under the name Aeromonas caviae. Its description in RNAcentral is "tRNA-Gly". It matches the Rfam family "tRNA". Rfam says of the family: Transfer RNA (tRNA) molecules are approximately 80 nucleotides in length. Their secondary structure includes four short double-helical elements and three loops (D, anti-codon, and T loops). The record is from RNAcentral. Lineage: Bacteria; Pseudomonadati; Pseudomonadota; Gammaproteobacteria; Aeromonadales; Aeromonadaceae.